AACGCACCUUGCGCUCCUUGGUAUUCCGAGGAGCAUGUCUGUUUGAGUGUCAUGAACUCUUCAACCCAUCAGUUUCUUAUGAACUGGCUGGUGUUUGGUUUCUGAGCGCUGCUGGUCCACGGAUCGAGCUCGUUCGUAAUGCAUUAGCAUCUCUAAUUCGACUUCGGAUUGACUCAGUGUAAUAGACUAUUCGCUGAGGACACGCCUCACGGUGUGGCCGAAUGAGAUCUCAGUAGAAGCUGCCAACCCUUCUAGUCAAUUUAAGAUUAGACCUCAGAUCAGAUAGGAUUACCCGCUGAACUUAA
This 305-nucleotide unclassified non-coding RNA is filed under the name uncultured fungus. RNAcentral describes it as "sequence contains ITS2". The stretch from base 1 to 52 matches the Rfam family "5.8S ribosomal RNA", at positions 103 to 154 of the family's 154-position model. Lineage: Eukaryota; Fungi. The record is from RNAcentral.